This 695-nucleotide long non-coding RNA is filed under the name Struthio camelus australis. RNAcentral describes it as "lncRNA (ENSSCUG00000013637.1)". Lineage: Eukaryota; Metazoa; Chordata; Aves; Struthioniformes; Struthionidae. The record is from RNAcentral.
GUUAUAUUAAUGACGUGACUGCACAUGAUUUUCUUCUCGACUUUUUUUGCAGUAAAGUCUGGGACACCUGCAGGAGACUGAAGAACGGUUCUAGCGCUGGCGUUUCCUUCCUACUCUGGGACUAUCGCCCUUCAAACAGAGCCAUUCCAGAUGGAAGCUUGCAACAUGAGAGUGUUUUCCCUCGAAUAGAGGGAUGUUCCUGCCAAGGCUUGGAUCGUCUUGGAGGAAGUGGAGUGCUGUCAGAACCACGUGAUGCUGAGCUGGAAACUUCUGGGGCCAGAUCCUGUGGCUGGAGAAGCUGAGUGGCCAGAUGCGAGCUGGAGCGGUCUCUCCCGUGUGCCGUCCCCGAGCUGUGGCGCUCACCAGCCCUGUGUCUUCUUCUGCUAACACUCACCCUCACGGCUCCCUGUAUUACAAGGUUACCGAGAGUGACUAAUGCUUCCUCCCCACCUAGGCUUUUGCUUAAACAAACAAACAAACAAACAAACAAACAAACAAACAAAAAACCACACCUCCCCAGGAUGCUCCCCAGAGCUGCCUGCCUUUUAAAUAAAGCCGGAGCAAGUCAAAUUUCUGUGCGUGACUCCGUAUUCGUACUUAUGGCUGUGCUACCAGGGCUGGGAAUUUUAGUGCUGAAAGCCCUUGCUGUAAAAUGUAACUGGUUGCAUCCUCUCUUUCCUAAACUUCUAACGCGC